GCUACUCACCAGGGGAGUCCCGGCAAGGGGCUGAGAUACUGCCAAUUGCGCGCAGUGACCUUGAACCUGAUCCAGUUCAUACUGGCGUAGGGACGGUGCGAGGCUCCGCCG
Molecule: non-coding RNA, 111 nt
Filed under: Mesorhizobium sp.
Lineage: Bacteria; Pseudomonadati; Pseudomonadota; Alphaproteobacteria; Hyphomicrobiales; Phyllobacteriaceae
Description: TPP sequence
Rfam family: TPP riboswitch aptamer (THI element)
About the family: Vitamin B(1) in its active form thiamin pyrophosphate (TPP) is an essential coenzyme that is synthesised by coupling of pyrimidine and thiazole moieties in bacteria.
Source: RNAcentral